UUAGAUGGAAAAGAAUUAUCAUCAACGCUAUGGGGGUAGGAGAAUUUUAUCUCAACUAUGGAAAUGACUCAUGUCUAAUCCUUAGAGAAAGAGAGAAAAAAGGGUUUUAAACGGAAAAGUGCAGAAAGGGAACAAAAUGAUUUGAAUGAGUUGAUGUAUUUUUUUAAGUAUUUUGAAAAUUGUUUGAAUAUGCUUACAAUGAGAUAACAUUUAUUAAGAACGAUUUUGAAAAUCACUUGACAAAAG
This 246-nucleotide long non-coding RNA is filed under the name Lathyrus oleraceus (garden pea). RNAcentral describes it as "Pisum sativum (pea) long non-coding RNA (PSAT_LNC001610)". Lineage: Eukaryota; Viridiplantae; Streptophyta; Magnoliopsida; Fabales; Fabaceae. The record is from RNAcentral.